AGGCAAGUUACAGAAGAGCCUGGACCAUGCAGUUGGCUCAUCAGGUAGACAUUAACUUCUGCAAUGUGCUGGACGCUCUUUUAAGUUUACAGGCAUAAACUUUCCCCUUGUAGGAAGACACCUGAAAUUGACCUACCUGGAACCACCAUCUAUAUUCUGGGAUACUGUGCUUCAGUCUUUUAGAAACUCUUUGAGGCUCUUGGCAGCUGCGAGAAAAGUCCUAGCCCACAAGAUGCUGUGAAGACCAUUUCUUUCUCAAAUCCUCAUUUUCCAAGGAACUUUUUGAAGAUAACCAUCCUAUCACAACUAAGGGUAACUUUUUGUUAACUGGAAAUAAUCA
Molecule: long non-coding RNA, 340 nt
Organism: Homo sapiens (human)
Lineage: Eukaryota; Metazoa; Chordata; Mammalia; Primates; Hominidae
Exons: 4
Source: RefSeq, a predicted model, not a curated record